Molecule: long non-coding RNA, 535 nt
Filed under: Calidris pugnax (ruff)
Lineage: Eukaryota; Metazoa; Chordata; Aves; Charadriiformes; Scolopacidae
Description: lncRNA (ENSCPUG00000009361.1)
Source: RNAcentral
UCGCGUCCUUUACAGGCGAGGGGCGGGACAACGCCACUCUGUGACACCGGGCACCGCCCACGGGGCUUUAAAGGGGCAGAGCCGUUGCUUUUCACCCCCCCUGGCCUCCAUCUCAGCGCAUUUUGCUCGAUUCCGCCCGGUUCCCGGUGCACGCCGCGGGCGUGGUCACGUGUGCGUCCGUGGGUGCGCGUGGCAUCCCGUACUGGCGAAGAGACCCGCGCAGCUGCCGCUGCUCGGCGCGGAGCCGCGGGGGUGCCCGGUGCAGCGGGCGGGGGGGUCGUGGCUGUUUGGUGUUUGUGCGUUUGAAGCCACCCCCGGGCCGUGCCGUGUCACUGCGGGCCCUGGCGCCGCAACGUGGCGCGUUUCCAGCGGGGGAGCGGGUUCGGACGGUGGAUUCCUGUUGCCGGUGGCUCCCGCGAGAUCGCCUCAACCACUUUUGGAAGAAAAUGAUGUGACUCUUAGGAUUACUUGUCUCUCACAUGGAUCUCUCUUUCCAAUUACAUUUUAUGAAUUUACCCGUAGUGCUGCACUAUAA